Molecule: ribosomal RNA, 551 nt
Filed under: uncultured bacterium
Lineage: Bacteria
Description: bacterial SSU rRNA
Rfam family: Bacterial small subunit ribosomal RNA
Source: RNAcentral
UAGCUUGUUGGUAGGGUAAUGGCCUACCAAGGCUGUAAUGGGUAGCUGGUCUGAGAGGACGACCAGCCACAUUGGGACUGAGAUACGGCCCAGACUCCUACGGGAGGCAGCAGUGAGGAAUUUUGCGCAAUGGGGGAAACCCUGACGCAGCAACGCCGCGUGAGUGAGGAAGGCCUUCGGGUCGUAAAGCUCUGUCAGGUGGGAAGAAAUGUGUGACGGUCAAUACCCGUCAUGCUUGACGGUACCGCCAAAGGAAGCACCGGCAAACUCCGUGCCAGCAGCCGCGGUAAUACGGGGGGUGCAAGCGUUGUUCGGAAUUAUUGGGCGUAAAGAGCGUGUAGGCGGCUGGGUAAGUCAGAUGUGAAAGCCCUGGGCUCAACCCAGGACGUGCAUUUGAUACUGCUCAGCUAGAGUAAGAGAGAGGAAAGCGGAAUUCCUGGUGUAGAGGUGAAAUUCGUAGAUAUCAGGAGGAACACCGGUGGCGAAAGCGGCUUUCUGGCUCUAUACUGACGCUGAGACGCGAAAGCGUGGGUAGCAAACAGGAUUAGAUA